UGCCUCAGUAACGGCGAGUGAAGCGGCAACAGCCCAGAUUUGAAAUCUGGCCCCCACUGGGGGCCCGAGUUGUAAUCUGCAGAUGGGUCUUUUGGUGAAGCGGCCGUCCAAGUUCCCUGGAAUGGGACGCCUCAGAGGGUGAGAGCCCCGUACAGGCGGUCGCGGAGCCUCUGUAAAGUCCAUUCGACGAGUCGAGUAGUUUGGAAAUGCUGCUCUAAUCGCGGGGUAAACCUCCCGUAAGGCUAAAUACCGGCCAGAGACCGAUAGCGCACAAGUAGCGUGAGCGAAAGAUGAAAAGGGCCUUGAACAAGGGCGUUAAAAAGUAUGUGAAAUUGUUAUGGGGGAAGCGCUCGAUGCCAGACUCGGGGGCGGUUGGUUACCCGGCGGUCCUCGCCGGCGCACUCUUCCGCUCCCGGGCCAGCAUCGGUUCGGCGCGGGGCUCACUGCCCCGGGGAACGUGGCUCCCUCGGGAGUGUUAUAGCCCCGGCGGAUACGCCCCGUGCCGGACCGAGGACGGCGCCUUCGGGCGUGGAUGCUGGCGUAAUGGCCCCUAGCGACCCGUCUUGAAACACGGACCAAGGAGUUGACCUAGCAUGCGAGUGUACGGGUGCGAAAGCCCUGGCGCGCAAUGAAAGUGAUCAUGGGUGGGAGCCCUUCCGGGCGCACCAUCGGCCGAUCCUGACGUUUCUACAGAUGGAUUUGAGUAAGAGC
This 711-nucleotide ribosomal RNA is filed under the name Conioscypha minutispora. RNAcentral describes it as "LSU rRNA". It matches the Rfam family "Eukaryotic large subunit ribosomal RNA", at positions 76 to 801 of the family's 3401-position model. The record is from RNAcentral. Lineage: Eukaryota; Fungi; Ascomycota; Sordariomycetes; Conioscyphales; Conioscyphaceae.